Molecule: long non-coding RNA, 2777 nt
Organism: Engraulis encrasicolus (European anchovy)
Lineage: Eukaryota; Metazoa; Chordata; Actinopteri; Clupeiformes; Engraulidae
Exons: 8
Source: RefSeq, a predicted model, not a curated record
UUCAUAUCUUGUCCAUAUCGCGUCCGUCCGUCUAAGACCAGUUCUGUACCCAAAAAUGACGUGCAAAAUAGGUAUACUAUUUUGACGUCAAACUAUGAGGUCCAUUAGACGUCUGAAUAUAGUUAAUCAUUUACCCAAUGGGGACUGCCUAAACAGAUGUGUCAAAAAAAAUAACACAUUGGGAUGUGUAGACAGCAUUGACAGAUUAUGUGUCAUUUUUGUGUAAGAUUUCACAGAAUGUGUGAAACCUGAAGUUAAGAGAUUCAUUUCUGGGUCGUGCUACAACAAGUGAGAAACUAACGGCCGUUUGGCUGUCCAAUCGCGUGACUGUGGACAUUUGAAAGCAGACUUCCGCCCGCCUUUUCUACCGUUGGAAAUGCAAGAUGCGGCGACUUGACUUCAGACACCGAGAGAGGCUGGCGGCCCAGGUCUUGUGGCCACAUCUGUCCAAGCUCCUACUCUGAUUGAACAGUUGGAUGAUCAGACUGAUGAUGAAAAGUGCUACACAGUUCUCACACAUCUUCUGACUCCGAAGCCGCUGCAGUGUAAAAUCUGAGAUGUCUUUUCUGGUUGAUUUUGUGCAGAUUUCUGACAGCGACAGCGAUGGUGAGGGAAGCAGUGUACCGAACUCUCAGAUGACUCGGACCAGGUGACCAAACCCAUGCAAAGCACAAUGACUGUGCUGAGGCGUUCCGCCCCCCUCCCCCUCCACACCACUCAAGGCACGGCGGCGGCCCAACCGCAAACUAACGGAGAUUAACAUGAGGCUGGAUGCGCUUGGCUCCCUGCUGCGUCCAUCACCAGAGGGGCCGGGAUUGCUGCGGCAGCUAGCCAAUUAAAGGAGGAGGAUGAAGGAGAGGAGUCUGACGAUGCCGACAUCGCCAUCGUAUGCAGUCCACGCCCUCGCAGGAAAACCAGCCAAUGAAAACGCUUGCAGCAGCAUCAGCAGAACACACCGGCACGACUGACAGAGCUUCUGAAGCAUGCAGUGGAAGACCUGUCAGUCAAGCUAAAGGUCCCGCCCUCCAACCUGCUGCUGCUGCACGGAGAGGCGGAACUUAACACCUCACACACUAUUGGCCAGCUAGGACUCUGCAUCGCUGACAUCUUUGUCUGGAACCAACUUCACAUCCCUCUUCACUGCACUACUGACACUGAGAUGGAAUCCACAACCCAACCACUAGUGGUCUGCAUUGGGAACCUGAAGAGUCUGUCAUAACCGCCAGGAAUGACCGUGUGACCAUUCCCGUUGCAGACGGCCUGACUUGCACAAUUGACAAGCUGUUCAAGCUUUACUGGGUCUGCAACUUGUUAUAUCCAGCACAGCUCAGCUCUGUUUUCACCUUCUUUGAAUAUGUUUAUGACGUUCCCAUCUCAACCAACAAACGAACAAAGGCACUACAACUUCUCUCAAAGCUUCCCAGCAGAAUUAUUUUGAUUAUCAUUUUGGCAACACUUUAUUUUAUCAUUACAUCUAUUAGCUCUAAUACAUAGUGUUAAUGCCUGUAUGCUGUAUAAGUAACUUGUAAGGCAUGCACUAAGCAAAAUCAAACAUACGUUAGGCAUGUAUUCGCAAAUGCCUUGUUCAUGCACAAUUUGGGAUUUAUCACCUAAUAUAACUUCAGUAAGGACCUAACAAAUGUUUGAUUUCGCUUAGUACAUGCCUUACAAGUUACUUAUACAGGCAUUAACCCAUUGAUGCUGGAUGUUGGGUUGUGCAACAUUGGCCCUGGCGCCUGGAGUUUUGUAUGGCAUCAGCACCCUUUUCUGCAAGUGCUUUAGGCAUCAAUGGGUUAACAUUGUAUGUAUUAGUGCUAAGCUAUGUAAUGUUAAAAUAAAGUGUUACCAUCAUAUUUUUAAAAAAUAUAUGUUGUAAAACUGGACGAUUGUGAAAUGAUAUGAUGUGGCAGAUGUAAGACCCAUUGAUGUAAUGCAGAGUUUUCAUUCAGAUGAACUGUCUCUUAACCCAAGGUACAAUGUCUUUUCUUCCAAUAUGUUGGAUCCUACAGUAUUUCAUAAGAAAGUUUUCAAGAGUAUUUAACACUACUUCGAAUUUCAAGACUUUUGGGUUUUGUAAUACACCGGUAAUGUUGUUAAGAGAUGAUAGUGUACGAGUCAUAAUCAUCAAUACUUCAUGAAAUUCGCAGUGGUGUUAAUUAUUCUUGAAAAAGAUCACAUUUGUUAUCUCCCCCUCUUCUGAAAAUAAUAUGACAGUAAAGUUAAUGUAAUACAAUUUUUUUUUUUAUUGAAUGUAAACACAACUCUACAAAAAAAAAACGUUGCAGAGGUAUGUAGUCAAGACUUUUGAAGAUUUAACCUUGUAAACAAAAGUGUUUGCUAAAUAAAAGUAAACCCCCCCCUGUCACUUUCCAUGUGAUAAUUGUCUGUAUAUUUUGAAAACUAGAAGUUUCAAGGUUUUUAAUGCUGUCACUUAAAUGUUUGAAUGACAACUCACAGAGUUAAUUUAAAGUCAAAAAGACGUCCACAAAGAGUGAUGUCCCAUUUGCUAUAAGACAUUUUAUUUAUUUUAGCAACAGAUUAGAACAUUUGAGUGAUCUGAAUGGGAGGCAGUGAUGAGGUUACUUCAGUUCUGAAGCAGUCGAUACAAUUAACAAGAAAUGCUAUUUUGCAUUGUGUUGCAUACAUGGAGCAUCAAAGGACUUUUUAAAGAUUGUGCACAAAGUCUGGCAUAGGUGAGACUGUGUGUACCAUUUGUCUUAAGAUGGGAUUUGUUCGAAUCUCAACUGUCUUGCUUUUCAAGAACCCUUUACCCUUAA